GAUGAACGCUAGCGGCAGGCUUAAUACAUGCAAGUCGUGGGGCAGCAUGAGUAGCAAUACUUGAUGGCGACCGGCAAACGGGUGAGGGAACACGUACACAACCUUCCUUCAAGCGGGGAAUAGCCCAGAGAAAUUUGGAUUAAUACCCCAUAAUAUAUUUGAUAAGGCAUCUUAUUAAUAUUAAAGCUUCGGCACUUGAUGAUGGGUGUGCGGCUGAUUAGAUAGUUGGCGGGGUAACGGCCCACCAAGUCUACGAUCAGUAGCUGAUGUGAGAGCAUGAUCAGCCACACGGGCACUGAGACACGGGCCCGACUCCUACGGGAGGCAGCAGUAAGGAAUAUUGGACAAUGGACGAAAGUCUGAUCCAGCCAUGCCGCGUGAAGGAUUAAGGUCCUCUGGA
Molecule: ribosomal RNA, 400 nt
Filed under: uncultured bacterium
Lineage: Bacteria
Description: bacterial SSU rRNA
Rfam family: Bacterial small subunit ribosomal RNA
Source: RNAcentral